GUCAUCCAAAGCCCCAUUACACAUUUAUGUCGAGUAGCUGGGAUUCAGGCGAAGUUAGGCACUGUGUUUAGGCGCCAAAUGGUUUCAAUGACUUUGGACUACGUGACGAAAUGGGCAUCUCACCUGCAGAUCGUGACGCCCUAGAUCGCAAGAAUUGACGCAAGGAAGCGCGCCUAGACGCUAGUCAUAGUUCCCUAAUCAAUUAACUAACUUCCCCACCUGCCCCUUGACUCCCUCCACUUGGCAUGGCCUACGUGCACUCGGCACGUACGCCGAUCUUAAACUCAAUCUCCAGAACAAGAACCUUGAAAAGGUUCAAGGCAUCUCAGACAUUCAAGGGAAUUCCUGGAGCAUCGCCCUUUUUCAUCACGAGUCUCAAGUGCAUGGGAGUUCCCGAUCGUCAGGAAACUUCAUUACUCCAGCGCCACUUUGUUUUUAUGGCUUGUAUGCUUACAGAGUUGAAAUAUGGUAAUUUGCGAAUAUUUAUAAGCAUUUUUAUUUUAUAUCAUGCUGAAAAAGUGGGCCUAGAGAUAUAUGUACAUACAAUACAUAUG
Non-coding RNA from Drosophila melanogaster (fruit fly), 554 nucleotides. NCBI's taxonomy places the organism in Eukaryota, Metazoa, Arthropoda, Insecta, Diptera, Drosophilidae. The record is from Ensembl.